Molecule: ribosomal RNA, 282 nt
Filed under: uncultured bacterium
Lineage: Bacteria
Description: partial 16S ribosomal RNA
Rfam family: Bacterial small subunit ribosomal RNA
Source: RNAcentral
UACGGGGGGGGGCAAGCGUUGUUGCGGAAUUACUGGGCGUAAAGGGCGCGUAGGCGGCUCAAUCAGUCGGGCGUGAAAGCUCUGGGCUUAACCCAGAAAAGUCGUUCGAUACUGUUGGGCUAGAGUGUGGAAGAGGCUACUGGAAUUCCGUGUGUAGCGGGUGAAAUGCGUAGAUAUACGGAGGAACACCUGCGGCGAAGGCGGGUAGCUGGGCCAACACGUGACGCUGAUGCGCGAAAGCUAGGGGAGCAAACGGGAUUAAGAAACCCCCAGUAGGUCCAA